CAGCCCUAAACGAUGCGCGUUAGGUGUAUCGGUGACCACGAGUCACCGAGGUGCCGAAGGGAAACCGUGAAACGUGCCGCCUGGGAAGUACGGUCGCAAGGCUGAAGCUUAAAGGAAUUGGCGGGGGAGCACCACAACGGGUGGAGCCUGCGGUUUAAUUGGACUCAACGCCGGGAAGCUCACCGGAUAAGACAGCGGAAUGAUUGCCGGGCUGAAGACCCUGCAUGACCAGCUGAGAGGAGGUGCAUGGCGUAGUCGUGU
Molecule: ribosomal RNA, 261 nt
Filed under: uncultured archaeon
Lineage: Archaea
Description: partial 16S ribosomal RNA
Rfam family: Archaeal small subunit ribosomal RNA
Source: RNAcentral